Molecule: long non-coding RNA, 781 nt
Filed under: Olea europaea (common olive)
Lineage: Eukaryota; Viridiplantae; Streptophyta; Magnoliopsida; Lamiales; Oleaceae
Description: long non-coding RNA (OEUR_LNC015106)
Source: RNAcentral
AAAAAAAAGAAUGAAAAGUUAGAUUCUCAUAUAAAAAGAAAAAGUGACAAAUCUUCUACCUCUCAUCGUAAUCUUUUUGACUCGAGUUAUUAAGUCUGUAAGAGUAUUUAAAAUUUUGGUGUUCUAUAGUUUGAUUUGGGAGUUAUCGACCUAAAGCUUACUACAUGCAUCAUUUAGGAAGCUUAAAGAAGAGAAGUCUUGUACAGGAGAUGUAAAAAAAAAUAAUCUAAAUAAUCAAAAGUGAAAUGUGCUCGAUAAAGACUUUGAGAUUUAAACUCUAGGGAUUGGCAGUGUGACUUUGAGAAGCACUUACCAUCUUUUUCCUAGGUUUACAUAUAUCCAAACCACUUGAGUGAAAAAUGUGUUAUAAUAAUUUUUAGAAACCCAUAUGUUCUAAAAGUACUUCGGGCUUUGGGAGAAAAACAUAUGGAUUGCUCAUGCACAAGAGGCAUGAGGAAAAAUUGAUCACAAAAGGAUUGAGAUUGUGCGUAAAUCAACAUUACUUGAUUAGUUGUGUUCUAGUAUGGGUGUGAGUUCAAUGUUGGCUAGUCAUAAACAUACUAAGUCGAGCAUCGGAUAAGUAAAAAUCUAUUUUAAUAUUAUUUGGAUCUUUCUAAAGUAUUGCUUAAAUUUGAACGUAAGGCUUAUGAUAAGUGAUUCAGCAUUAAGUCUUUUAUUUGUGAUUUGUUUGGGUUAGUUAUAUGUGUCAUAUCUAAGUUUUAUUUUAUUUUCUUCGAGGAUGAACAAAUGUUUUAGUUUGGGGGUGUUUGAUAAAUACAUN